ACGCCCUCCUCCGCUGCAUCCUACUUCCUUCGCCGCCACCCUGCGCACAAGGUCGCCAGAUCCGGGCACGGGCUCACCGGAUCCGGGCGCGGGCUCGCCGGAUCCUGCGGCGACGGGGAGCAGCGCUCCUCUUUGCAUCUGGCGGCGGCGGGGAACAGUGGUGUCAUCGGCGGCGCUCCUCUUCGCAUCUGGCGGCGGCGGGGAGCAGCGGUGGCGGCGGUGAGCAGCGA
This 230-nucleotide unclassified non-coding RNA is filed under the name Oryza sativa (Asian cultivated rice). RNAcentral's name for it is "partial microRNA MIR435d precursor". Lineage: Eukaryota; Viridiplantae; Streptophyta; Magnoliopsida; Poales; Poaceae. The record is from RNAcentral.